GACUAGGGGCACCUGAUCCAUCAAUGCCGCGUGAGUGAAGAAGGCCUUCGGGUUGUAAAGCUCUUUUGUCAGGGAAGAAACAGCAGCUCUAAUACAGUUUGCGAAUGACGGUACCUGAAGAAUAAGCACCGGCUAACUACGUGCCAGCAGCCGCGGUAAUACGUAGGGUGCAAGCGUUAAUCGGAAUUACUGGGCGUAAAGCGUGCGCAGGCGGUUAUGUAAGACAGGCGUGAAAUCCCCGGGCUUAACCUGGGAAUUGCGCUUGUGACUGCAUAGCUAGAGUAUGUCAGAGGGGGGUAGAAUUCCACGUGUAGCAGUGAAAUGCGUAGAUAUGUGGAGGAAUACCAAUGGCGAAGGCAGCCCCCUGGGAUAACACUGACGCUCAUGCACGAAAGCGUGGGGAGCAAACAGGAUUAGAUACCCUGGUAGUCCACGCCCUAAACGAUGCUGACUAGUUGUUCGGGAUUUACAUCCUGAGUAACGUAGCUAACGCGUGAAGUCAGCCGCCUGGGGAGUACGGUCGCAAGAUUAAAACUCAAAGGAAUUGACGGGGACCCGCACAAGCGGUGGAUGAUGUGGAUUCAU
This 585-nucleotide ribosomal RNA is filed under the name uncultured bacterium. RNAcentral describes it as "bacterial SSU rRNA". It matches the Rfam family "Bacterial small subunit ribosomal RNA", at positions 367 to 950 of the family's 1533-position model. The record is from RNAcentral.